UACGUAGGGGGCAAGCGUUGUCCGGAUUUAUUGGGCGUAAAGGGCGCGUAGGCGGCCAACUAAGUCAGACGUGAAAUCCCUCGGCUCAACCGGGGAACUGCGUCUGAUACUGGAUGGCUUGAAUUCGGGAGAGGGAUGCGGAAUUCCAGGUGUAGCGGUGAAAUGCGUAGAUAUCUGGAGGAACACCGGUGGCGAAGGCGGCAUCCUGGACCGAGAUUGACGCUGAUGCGCGAAAGCCAGGGGAGCAAACGGG
This 253-nucleotide ribosomal RNA is filed under the name uncultured bacterium. Its description in RNAcentral is "partial 16S ribosomal RNA". It matches the Rfam family "Bacterial small subunit ribosomal RNA", at positions 524 to 776 of the family's 1533-position model. The record is from RNAcentral.